RNAcentral lists this ribosomal RNA (497 nucleotides) under uncultured bacterium. RNAcentral describes it as "partial 16S ribosomal RNA". It matches the Rfam family "Bacterial small subunit ribosomal RNA", at positions 28 to 507 of the family's 1533-position model. The record is from RNAcentral.
GAUGAACGCUGGCGGCGUGCCUAAUACAUGCAAGUCGAGCGAACAGACGAGGAGCUUGCUCCUCUGACGUUAGCGGCGGACGGGUGAGUAACACGUGGAUAACCUACCUAUAAGACUGGGAUAACUUCGGGAAACCGGAGCUAAUACCGGAUAAUAUAUUGAACCGCAUGGUUCAAUAGUGAAAGACGGUUUUGCUGUCACUUAUAGAUGGAUCCGCGCCGCAUUAGCUAGUUGGUAAGGUAACGGCUUACCAAGGCAACGAUGCGUAGCCGACCUGAGAGGGUGAUCGGCCACACUGUAACUGAGACACGGUCCAGACUCCUACGGGAGGAAGCAGUAGGGACUCUUCCGCAAUGGGCGAAAGCCUGACGGAGCAACGCCGCGUGAGUGAUGAAGGUCUUCGGAUCGUAAAACUCUGUUAUUAGGGAAGAACAAAUGUGUAAGUAACUAUGCACGUCUUGACGGUACCUAAUCAGAAAGCCACGGCUAACUACGUG